Long non-coding RNA from Ictalurus punctatus (channel catfish), 5255 nucleotides. NCBI's taxonomy places the organism in Eukaryota, Metazoa, Chordata, Actinopteri, Siluriformes, Ictaluridae. The record is from Ensembl.
AUAAAUUUGCAUAAGUUGCAUUUUACUAAAUUUUGGCACUCACAAAGCCUUGCAUAUAAAUGUAAUCAAUUAACCAUCUAGAAUAUGUUAAUUAAGGCAUUAUUACAUGCUACAUGUGUUAUGAAUAAAGUUUAAUUAAUAGUUAAUAAAUUGUUUACAAGUUAGCAUUUUAUUGUACAAAUAACAAAACCUUACUAAACUCCUAACAUGUGGGGAAAACCCUCCAACGUCUGCAGAGCUAUGAUUAAAACCCUUAAAUUCUCUGACAUUAACUGAUGAACUAAUUGGUUCCCCAAACUUUAGAGUCGACUCCCUUUUCAAUUCCGAUUCCUAGAAUCGAUUCCACACUGCGCGUUUUCUUGAUCACUGAAACACAAGACAGCGAUGUAAUCCUCAUAAUAUAAACCAGCUCUUUCUCAUGUGCACAUUACUGUCUCUGGCAGCACGAAUAACACACGAUCUGUCACGCCAUGAGAAUAGUAUAAAGUACUUCCAGGCUUAUGCCACUGCUUUCGAAUCCGAGUCAAAUCAAACUAAAUGUCUAACCUUUACCUGAACAGUGAAAAGAUGUAUCAUCUACUAAUGUUAUAUAUCUGUCUCCUAUAUCUCUUGCACCAGAUUCUAUGUUACACACAUUUACACACUAGUUACAUGUAUAUGCUGUACGUUUAAAUAAAGAGUUGACUCUUUUCUGAUUUGUGAAUCGACUCCCAGAUCUAGUCAUAACAGCUUCAAUCUGUGUUACUCUUCAUCACCACAUGUGGGGGCCCGAGCACCACACACAACACACACACCAACACACACACACACACCAACACACAAACACAUGCACACACACACGCACACACACACACACACACACACAAACACACGCGCACACACACACAAAGUUAUUUAGAAAGUUUACAAUCGAAUGAAUCCAUUAAAAGUCUAAAAUAAACAAUCGCCUCAAUAAAAACCUCAUGUAUUGUAAUGCUUGUGGUUAAUUUUGUAUCGGUUGAUUUUUAGGCAGCAUACACCCACUGUGUUUUAGUGAUGUUGAAUUUUGGCUCAUUUGUUCCAGCAUACAGCGACCGCAGCGUGCGCGCGCUCCAGCGCUCUGAGUCUGUCAGCUGCGCGCGACACACACACGGAGAUAGAGAGAGGGGGGGUGCUAGGCUAACGGUGUAGCUCAUGUAGCUGUAAACAGUUACACUCCGCCUUACCAGCCGAGUUUAAUGAAACACCUUCCCCAGGAUGGAGGCGAGAAGAUUAAAUAAACACACCGCAAAGUCAUGAGGAUGUUUACAAACGUGAACAUUUCCAAAAAAAACAAAACAAACAAGUUUUGCGACAGGACUAAGCACUUUAGUUAGCUAGCUCACGCGCUAGUUUAGAGUGUUGGAGCUAGUGACGACGUAUCGUCUAAGCUAAGCUAUCUUACUGCAUGGAAAGUAGCUCCGGGUUCACCUUUAGCACCUAGCAUGGAUUAAUUACCUCGUUAUCCACGAGUACAAUAUUAAAGAAGGAGUUUAACAGUCAGGGUUGUUGUUUUUUCCCCUGUUUCUGGGUCGGAAACUUGACUGAGUCCAAAAAGCGCUGACACUGGAGACUCCUUCCAUGAAUGUUAAAUAAAUCUCCUAACUUGAAGAAAACCUCAGCGAUUCACAGUGCAUCUGCCGUACAUGUCCCUGUGAAUGAUCCGUUGCUAUAGAAACGCUAACGUAUUAGGACGAGUGCAUUAAUAUAAACCUGCACCGCUGUCAGAGCUGCUGUUGUAGCAAACCUCACAUCUGACCGAUCAGAUCAGAGAGUUCGAGUAAACUCACCAACUUCACUGGAGACUGUUUGUAGCUGAGAACAGGGACUAAUUUAAAUGUAACUGGAAAUGGGUAAAAAUUCUAAAGUGUUGUUUUAUAUAUAAAUAUAUUUACUCCAGUAGAGUGUCCUCUAGGGGAGGGUUUUCUCUCUCUCCCGUCAAUCACUGCGACCCAAGCCAGUCGUGAGUGUCUGUGAGCUCGUGUAUGAGGAAGAGGGCGGUUCGCUAGUUUCAUGUGUCGCAGAGGAAUCACGUGAUCGCCUUCACCCUCCCUGCUAGUAUCUGUUCUGUGAUAGGGAGAGAGCUGGGUAGUGGGCGGAGCCUGGUGACCAGACUAUAUUGCGGAUGACAACGUAAUUACAGUUAAACGAACUCUCUAAGUUGCAAUUAUAAUCUCAUCCACCCUGAGUGCGACCCAUCCUGAAGUGUCUUAUUCCUCUUAUACCACAGUACUUUAUCCUUACUGUUUACCGUGUCAUGCUUUUUAUCCAUUUAUAGCUACAUUUAACUCGUUCCUGUUCUCGCUUACGUUAUAGCAGCUGUAAACAGCAGUUUAUCACCUCUGAAAGAAGAGGAAAAGAACGCAGCGUAAACUCCUCUGACUUUAAAGGUAGUUACGGGUUUACCUCCCUCACUGGACACUCCUUCUCCUUCCAGAAAACUUCAUCACAUCCGUAAUGAGUGUAUGGGCCAUGGUGACGAGUGUGUGGGGCGUGGUGACGAGUGUGUGGGGCGUGGUGACGAGUGUAUGCGCCGUGCUGACUAGUGUAUGGGCCGUGGUGAUGUUUAUGGGGCGUGGUGACAAGUGUAUGCGCCGUGCUGACGAGUGUAUGGGCCGUGGUAAUGUUUAUGGGGCGUGGUGACGAGUGUAUGGGCCGUGGUGAUGUUUAUGGGGCGUGGUUAUGAAUGUAUAGGCCGUGGUGAUGUUUAUGGGGCGUGGUUAUGAAUGUAUAGGCCGUGGUGAUGUUUAUGGGGCGUGGUGGAGAGUGUAUAGGCGUGGUGAUGAGUGUAUGCUCCGUGGUGACGAGUGUAUGGGUAUGUAUAUGGGUGAUGAGUGUUUGGGAUGUAUCCGGGUCAGGGUCGCCCCCCCCCCCCAGUUAAAUGGAGAAAAUCUUUCGUUUGUUGAUCCAAACAAUGCUCGAGUUCCUUUGUGUCUGUGAUCGAUUGUGUUUAGAUAUAUUUAGAUAAAGUGCUGAAACAAAAAGGCUCCGUCUCAUCUUUGUGGAUAGAACAGACCCACCCUUUCUGUUUUAUAAAGAACUGCAGAGAAAAUCCGCAUCGUGUCUGAAAAGCAGGGCUUGUUUUAUCUGCUUAAUUUGCACCAAUUUUAGUUUAAUCGUGUUUAAGGGCUAAAUGAAACCUCGCAGUCGCCCACUCCUAACUUUAUUCUUGCAAAACAACAACAAAAAGCAUAUAAGAUUAAUCUUUGCUGCUCCACAACAUCGCAUGGAGCUCUCAGAGUAUGUGUUGCUGAAGAAGGCAUUUAGUUCAUUAGUGUAAAAUAAUUAGAUGGCUCAUAAGGACUCGUACUGUAUGUGACUCAGCACUUAACAGCAAUUAGAUAUUUAUGUAGACUCUAGAUAUUUCUACGUUUUUUCUCAUGUGUUUUUGAAGGUUUGUUUCAUUUCCUGCCCGACACUCUCCUGACCUCGAUCUGCCGUCACGAGAGACAGAAAUGUGACUGCGAAGGGAAAAUGAGACGUGUUUUUUCAUUUUACUCUUCACCACAACUCACCCCGCUCCCCCUCCAUCCAAACCCUUGAUUUUCUUGGCAGUUACGACUUUGUGACCCUGAAACGUACCGUUUUAUACACACCGUUUCACUCCACACACUGCAACGCCUGCUCUUUUCCACCUGGAUAUUACACAACAUGUUCACUUCACUUCUUCUCUUAUAAGGUUGUUAAAUGGCACCGGGGGGAGGCGGCGAGACAAACAUUAAAUCAGAAAUACGGUGGAAAUGAAGGAUUCAAGUAAAAUUAAACGUCGGUAUGAUUUGCGUGUUUUCCUCCUCUUACACGGUCACGAGGUGGUGGGGGUAUUUUGUGUCCGCGCGUCACUUUGAGAUUCUCGUAAGUGGAGAAUCUCCAUGACGAUUGGUUGAAUGUUUGUAGGAUAUUUAUAUGGAAUUAACAUUGUAACCAGCCGAUUAGAGACUGAUUAAAUCAAGGUCACUGCAAGGUCAAAUUCCAUACGCUUCCUUCCUGUUUGAUGUGUGUUUUAUGAUGGUUAACGACAAGAAGCACCAUGGCGGGGACAUCGGGUUCUACUUGCGUGUUCGCACUUUAACCGAGGUACGUGUUUGAUUUUGAAAUCGGCGUAUAUGUACAGUAAAGUGCAGAUUUGUUUGUAUUUAGUAAACAAAAGUCGCCCUCUUCCGCAUGCAUGACCUCACAGACUCUCAUGAUUGGCUCAGUGAGGAGAGAGAGAUUCACAGUCGUAUGUGUUGAGCACGGUCUCAUAGUGCUGGGCGAUAAAUCAAUAUAAUAUCGUGAUCAGGAUUACGUGAUACACCCGUCCGAGAUAUCGUUGGUAUGGUGACGUGUUUUAUAAGUUGUGUUUUUUUGUUGUUUAUUUUGCUACAGUUCUGCAGACAUUUUUCUAGCUAACACGGUAUACUGUGAUACGCAGCGUGAAUCGUAAUCUGUCCAAACGUCAAGUAUCGUGACAUGACCUUUUUGUCACUUCUCCCAGCUCUACAGUCUCCUAGUCUGAUUUAAAAAAUGGGACGACUUUUCAUCUAACGGUGCUUGUGGUGUUAUUAAAGUAAUAUUUAUGUAAUAUAAGUUCUUCCUCACGAUCUGGAAGACUUCUAACUUGUUCAUCGUGCCAAAUCGUCUCACUGUAAAGGGGGGCAAGAGGAAAAUAAAACUUUUUCUUGGUUGCUUAGCAAUCCUGAGAGUUACUUAAUGAUCUUCCUUUAUUUUCUUUUUUUUUUUAAUCACAUUUUCCCUCUGAGAAACCUGCCACGUUUUACAUCAUUAAAAUAAACGCAGCACUCCUACAUACACGCCGACCCCGUUGUCCCGCUCGACGUUUGCGGUCUAACGGUCCGGGCGACGCAUCCGACGCUCCUUUGAGGGGGAAAAAGCGGCACGAGUAAUAUCCAACGUUGUGUUACUCCAGCAUGUAUUCUUUCUGUCUUCCUAUCGAACGGUGCAGAAAAAGAGCUGCGUAUUAAUUAUAUUCUGGACCUCUUUCUCCAUCCUGACUUCCUGCUUUUGUUCUUGCGCUCUUACACCAGUCAUGAUGUUCACGCUAAAAACUUUUCUGGGGUUUUUUUUCCUCCUUUGCCAUGUUCAUGCAUCUUAACCAAGCCUUAAUGACGGUAAAUUCGGAUUUACUGGUGCGUUUAUAAUACGCGUAAGGAAUAAAACACUGUGUGUGGUGCUGGUAUAGGAAAAUGAUCAACAACAGGGUGGUGUGAUGAAAGAUGUGUGUGUGUGUGUAUGUAUGU